Molecule: ribosomal RNA, 253 nt
Filed under: uncultured bacterium
Lineage: Bacteria
Description: partial 16S ribosomal RNA
Rfam family: Bacterial small subunit ribosomal RNA
Source: RNAcentral
UACGAAGGGGGCUAGCGUUGCUCGGAAUCACUGGGCGUAAAGGGCGCGUAGGCGGGCUGUCAAGUCUGGGGUGAAAUGCCGCGGCUCAACCGUGGAACUGCCUUAGAUACUGACGGCCUCGAGGGAGGUAGGGGCGUGCGGAACUGUAGGUGGAGCGGUGAAAUGCGUUGAUAUCUACAGGAACUCCGGUGGCGAAAGCGGCGCGCUGGACCUCUUCUGACGCUGAGGCGCGAAAGCUAGGGGAGCAAACGGG